Long non-coding RNA from Mastomys coucha (southern multimammate mouse), 717 nucleotides. RefSeq lists it as uncharacterized. NCBI's taxonomy places the organism in Eukaryota, Metazoa, Chordata, Mammalia, Rodentia, Muridae. The transcript has 2 exons. The record is from RefSeq and is a predicted model, not a curated record.
UGUUUACUGGAGGGCAGAGAUGCAAACACAGCAAGGCCCCCAUGGCUGUCGGAGGGGAAGGCAACAGUGAUGGGUGGGGUGUGGGAGGGGAAGGCAACAGUGAUGGGUGGGGUGUGGGAGGAGAAGGCAACAGUGAUGGGUGGGGAGUGGGAGGCAGAGGAGGAAAGUUCCUGCCUCCAGAACCAGCCCUGCAUGUGACAGGCAUUUGUCUGAGGCUGGUCUUCAGCCCUGUGAGCAUUUCCAGUGAAAGAACUGAAGACUUGCAGGGUCAUCUCACUUGAAAUCUUUGCUAGAAUGGGCUCCAGUACUCCUAAGAAGCUCACGCUCUUCUUAGCUUCCUGUGCGUGGCCUGUCACUUGGCUUAAUACGCGGAGUAAGUAUGAUAUUCAAAUAGAAAGACCAUCAAUCCUUCAGAGGCAGACCAAGUCAUCAGACAACUAUGUGAAUUGCACAAUGGAAGCUUGUGGUCUCACAUCAUUCCCCCUUGGUGACUUGUGAGACCCAUGCACUUAUGCAGAACAUCAUGGCACCAGGAGCACCUAGAAGAGUCAUUCAGCUCGUGGAAGACAGAAAGCAGAGAAUGAUGGGAAGUGAGCAAUGACACUUUGUAUCCCUCACUCAUGAACCACCUUACUUCUGCCAUCUAUGCUGCAGGUCCUGCAGUCCCACAACCUCUAAAAACAGUGUUCCAAAUUGGAACAAGCAAUUGAAACAUAA